Molecule: long non-coding RNA, 3700 nt
Organism: Scylla paramamosain (green mud crab)
Lineage: Eukaryota; Metazoa; Arthropoda; Malacostraca; Decapoda; Portunidae
Exons: 3
Source: RefSeq, a predicted model, not a curated record
GUAGUGACAGAGGUGAUGAAAGUAGAGGAGGUUAGUAGCAUUAGUAGUUCGGAACGAGGCAGAGAUGAUAGAGGAUAGUAAUAGUAGUAGUAGUAGUAGUAGUAGUAGUAGUAGUAGUAGUAGUAGUAUCAAGAGUAGCAGCAGCAGCAGUAGUGGGUAUAGCAAUGACUAGUGGGAUGGGAAGUUUGAUAAUACUACAGCUCACCCCCUGCUAUAAGUCCCUCUGCCCUCCCAGCAAACACAGACACAGCCUCCCGCCGCCCCUCCAGCUACAAAGACCCACGGUGACUCGGGAUUAAUAUCUGAAGGAGGAGGCGGGGGCUCUCUUUCCCCAGCAGCCCAGAGGGAAACUGAGGCAGACUGGCGUUGGUGGAAGCCGAGGUGGAAAUGGUGGUGGUGGUGGUGGUUUUCUGGGGACUGGUGAGGGAGAGUAGAGGACGGUGGUUGUGUGUGUGUGUGUGUGUGUGUGUGUGUGUGUGUGUGUGUGUGUGUGUGUGUUUCUUUGUUUGUCUUUCUGUGUGUGUGUGUGUGUGUGUGUGUGUGUGUGUGUGUGUGUGUGUGUGUGUGUGUGUGUGUGUGUGUGUGUGUGUGUGUGUGUGCUACUACUCUCACUUGUUGAGCGUUUUCUAUCUUUAUUUUUUAUUUUUAUUUCUUUCUCACUUUUAUCCCUUGCAUUUUCCCCGUCUGUUAUUUAUUUAUCAAUUCGUGUAUCUAUUUUGGCCACGGCUUUGGGGAGUGUUGGGAAGGAAGGCAGAGCGUCCAGCGUACAGUACUUGAGGACACCACAGGUAACUCCCCGCCUCCCGCCUCCCCUGCUUCGAAUCGUCACCAGGUAUAAUAUCUAAACUUCUAAAUGUCCGGGUCUGUGGGAGUGUACAGUUUACGAGAUCAUUAAAAUGUUAUAUGAAGAUAACGCUUUACCUCUCCACCUCUCGCGCGAGUAUCGAUUCAAACGUGGCGCUGCUGCUUCGCUCCGCCCCCGUGGCCACGCCUGCCCCGACGCUCAUUGGCUCUCGCACCCAAUAAUUAUUUAUUUUAUGGGUUGUCGGAAAAUUCUGGCGGACAAUGUUUCUUCUUUUCCACAAGUCUUUUUGUACUGCUGUCUAUUUUUCCUUCAAGCUUCCGUCACGCCCGUCAUCUAGGAGUGCUCUAGGCGGGUCACAGAGACCGCAGCCACGGCCUUGUAGCUUCUUCAAACAUGGCACUCCUAAAUGCUACCACUCGCCAUCUUCCCUCCCAUGGGGUGUGUCUCCCGCCAACUCGGUCGCCGUUCAGUGGCAGACGACACUCGGCAGCGUUAGCAUUUAGGGAGGCGGCCCAUACUCACGUAUAUCAGUCGGACCUUUAGUUAAACCCUGAACAAAGCGUGUGGCUCCCGCCUCCCGCUCGCUACGGUGCCGGAAAUUCCAGCCGAGAAGGACCGGACACCAAGAUGGCUCGGAUAUUCUCGGAUGGCGGGGCGAUAGCAGACGACGCGCUUAGAGCCAUCUUUGACGGAGGUGGCGGCAGUCGGGAGGGUGGCGCGGCGGGGCCAGCGUGGGCGGCGAGUGAGUCCCGGCGUGCCCCUCCUGCAGCACACACGCUCCUCCCGCCGCUCCUCUGGUCCCUGCCUGCCUUCCACAUAGCCGCCGUCACACAACAGUGUCUUUGCUGUGCCAGUGCUGACUUGUCCCGUCUCCAAAAAGUGGCACUGAGAGCCAAAGACUCGACCUGGCAGCCGCGCCUCUCUGGGUGGAGGCGGCGACGCGGUGGAGGGUGGAAGAGGACAGCAUGGUGGAGGGUGACGCAACAGUAGCGGACACACUGGCGUCUCAUUAUGAGGAGCUGACGAAGAGAUGUAGCCGAAUGGAGCCUUCUGCAGGAGUGGCUGACUGCGGUGGCUGGGUGGCUGGCUAGGCGGCUUCCCUGGCCUCGUGUGUAUGGGUAAUGUAGGGCAGUGCUUGGCGGGGGGUCAGGGUAAGUGAGGGAGUGUCAGGGAGGGUGGUGGAAGGGAAGCUAAGGGGAGAGGGAUGGUUACGGGGGAGAGAGAAGGGACAGGGGUGUGGGGUAGGAAUGGUUAGAGGUAGCAGCUGGGAAGGGUAUGUCUCUCUCUCUCUCUCUCUCUCUCUCUCUCUCUCUCUCUCUCUCUCUCUCUCUCUCUCUCUCUCUCUCUCUCUCUCUCUCUCUCAGCAGGCAGUGUGUGUGUGUGUGUGUGUGUUCACCCACUGCAUGUUUUUCUUCCUUUCUUACUUCCUUCCUCCUUCUCCCUUUCCUUUCUUCCUUCCUUCCUUCCUUCCUCCCUUUCCUUCCCUCGUCAACACCUUCCUAGUUCCACCCUUUCCUUCCCUUCCUCCCUAUCACCCCUCGUGUAUAUAUAAGCUGUACGGAAGAGGAUAUGGGGAGGACACACACACACACACACACACACACACACACACACACACACACACACACACACACACACACACACACACACACACACACGGGAGCAGCUAGUCAGUCAUGUCACGAGAAAUAAAAUCCAGAAAUAAGUAGGAAGCCCAGAAUAGCGAGACCCCCCAUCGGGUUAGACAAUGUUAUUUGACGGGGUGGACUUUUUCGCGUGUGUGUGUGUGUGGCGCGGGGGGGGACGGGGGGGCGUGAGAUGUGUAGGCGCGAACAUUAGUGCUCGCCAAGACGCCUCGGUCCAAAAUGAAUGGGACAUGAAUGGUUCCUGGCCAGCUGCUGUGCCCUCUCUCUCUCUCUCUCUCUCUCUCUCUCUCUCUCUCUCUCUCUCUCUCUCUCUCUCUCUCUCUCUCUCUCUCUCUCUCUCUCUCUCUCUCUCUCUCUCAGUUUGUCCGUCCGUCGGUUCGUUCGUCUGUCUGUGUAUGUGAGUAAGACUCGUGUCUGCUUGUGUGCUCACUUUUAUGUGUGUUUUUACGUUUCUUGAUUCUGUAUUGUGUGUGUGUGUGUGUGUGUGUGUGUGUGUGUGUGUGUGUGUGUGUGUGUGUGUGUGUGUGUGUGUGUGUGUGUGUGUGUGUGUGUAUCAUUUACAUGUACACAUUUACGUAUACGUUGCCUUCACACUCACUGACAAUCUCAUUUGCGUGGCCGUGCGCACACUAGCAUUCAGACCCACGGCUUUGAUGGCCACUUAAUGCAGGCGACUGUGCUGGAUUAGAAGAGACCUUAAUUUCAUGCCGCCACAGGUCACUGCUGGAGGGUGAGGUGAACUGCAGGCUGGAUGGCUGGCUGGCUGGACGAGGGUGGCGGUGGUGGCGGAGGGCGAGGCAGUGCAGGGAGCAAGGAAAGGUAGCGACGAGGAAGGCGAAGGUGGUGUUGAAAGGGGGGCGCGGAAACAGGGGAAUGAAAAUGUAUGUAUGUAUGCAUGUGUAUAUGUAUGGUGGAUGCACAGUGUAGGCAGGUUUGAGUAUGGCGUGAGGGAAAGGCGUUUUAACGGAGGAAGAAAGACGUAGGGUGGAAACGGUAACACGAUCAUGAUGGGUAAGAGUGGAUGUGUUGAGGGGACAUUGUGGUGGUAGGGGAAGACAGGGCGGCGGACGGAAGGGUGGUAGGGCGGCAAGGCGGUGGGGAGGACCAGACGUGCUGACAGGGAGAGAGAGGGAGGGCGCGAGGCGAGGCAAAGGCAGGGAAGGCGACAGUGAGUGAGACGCAAAAGUGGAAACUGAACGGCCGGCGGAAAGGAAGGAAUGGAAGGGAAGAGAGAGAGAGAGAGAGAGAG